Ribosomal RNA from Erinaceus europaeus (western European hedgehog), 108 nucleotides. NCBI's taxonomy places the organism in Eukaryota, Metazoa, Chordata, Mammalia, Eulipotyphla, Erinaceidae. The record is from Ensembl.
AAGUCUGGCUAUAAUGCCCUGAACACGCCUGUUCUCUUCUGAUCUCAGAAGCUAAGCAGGAUCGGGUUUGGUUAGUACUUGGAUGGAAGAGAAAGAAUGUUACACACU